This 648-nucleotide ribosomal RNA is filed under the name uncultured Staphylococcus sp. RNAcentral's name for it is "bacterial SSU rRNA". It matches the Rfam family "Bacterial small subunit ribosomal RNA", at positions 60 to 684 of the family's 1533-position model. Lineage: Bacteria; Bacillati; Bacillota; Bacilli; Caryophanales; Staphylococcaceae. The record is from RNAcentral.
AGUCGAGCGAACGGACGAGAAGCUUGCUUCUCUGAUGUUAGCGGCGGACGGGUGAGUAACACGUGGAUAACCUACCUAUAAGACUGGGAUAACUUCGGGAAACCGGAGCUAUACCGGAUAAUAUUUUGAACCGCAUGGUUCAAAAGUGAAAGACGGUCUUGCUGUCACUUAUAGAUGGAUCCGCGCUGCAUUAGCUAGUUGGUAAGGUAACGGCUUACCAAGGCAACGAUGCAUAGCCGACCUGAGAGGGUGAUCGGCCACACUGGAACUGAGACACGGUCCAGACUCCUACGGGAGGCAGCAGUAGGGAAUCUUCCGCAAUGGGCGAAAGCCUGACGGAGCCACGCCGCGUGAGUGAUGAAGGUCUUCGGAUCGUAAAACUCUGUUAUUAGGGAAGAACAUAUGUGUAAGUAACUGUGCACAUCUUGACGGUACCUAAUCAGAAAGCCACGGCUAACUUACGUGCCAGCAGCCGCGGUAAUUACGUAGGUGGCAAGCGUUAUCCGGAAUUAUUGGGCGUAAAGCGCGCGUAGGCGGUUUUUUAAGUCUGUAUGUGAAAGCCCACGGCUCAACCGUGGAGGGUCAUUGGAAACUGGAAUACUUGAGUGCUAGUAAGAGGAAUAGUGGUAUUCCUAUGUGUAGCGGUGA